This is an RNA transcript of Brassica napus (rape), 4101 nucleotides long. It is a transcript of the gene named pre-mRNA-splicing factor CWC22 homolog, with no coding region annotated. The record is from RefSeq and is a predicted model, not a curated record. The transcript has 7 exons. NCBI's taxonomy places the organism in Eukaryota, Viridiplantae, Streptophyta, Magnoliopsida, Brassicales, Brassicaceae.
UUUUUUUUUUUUUUUUUUUUUUUUUUUUUGGCGACAACCUUUUUACUGGAGAUUUAGUAUAAUCGUUGGAUCGGCUAAGGUUUUCUGUUGUAAUCGGUAAAGAUUCACACUUUUAUCUCUAAUUUCGCUGGUGGGAAGACGAGAGAGCGAGAAGAAGUGAUAAGAGAAGAGAAAGAAGCCCUGGCGACCAUAAGGGCUCGCGGAGAGAUCUCGACAUUGAUCGUGCUGCAAAGCCCAAGUUGCCAAAGCUCAACCCAUCUGAUCGCAACGCUACGGCUUUGGGAAAAACCGGACAAGAGCAGCGUAGAGUAUCAGCGUCUCACGUGGGACGCUCUCCGUAAAAGCAUCAAUGGGCUUGUUCACAAGGUCAACGCGAGCAACAUCAAGAACAUCAGAUGGCAUCUCCUGGAUUCACGGACGUCUUUGCAGCUCUGGUCUCCGUUAUCAACGCCAAGUUCCCCGAAGUUGCUGAGCUUUUGUUGAAAAGGAUCGUCAGCUUAAUGACAAGCCAAGUCGCUGAGGAGAUUAUUGCUCUUGAAAUAGUCUCUGUGCUUCUGGAAACUCCGACUGAUGACAGUGUCGAGGUGGCUGUUGGGUUCGUGACAGAGUGUGGUGCUAUGCUCCAGGAAAAGGAUUGCAUGGUAAAUUAUUAUUUUUAACCUCUCUUUCUCUUAGUGAUUGAUCUGUUUUUAUUUUUUUAUUUUUUAAUUGGGAGACAUUAUUAGACUGCUUUUACGUCCACCUAUUCCAUCCAUCAAAUUAUUUCACAAAAGUCAAAUGAUUAUUGACAUAUGCUGCUAUGGUGGCGAUUCAUCUCUGGUAGUGUAUCUAAUUUGAUAAGAGAGUUCAAAAUUUGAUUGAAGGGCUCUUUGCUAUUAGGAAAGCAAAAUUUCAGGGACAUCCAGCUGUGCGUCCUGAGCUAGAUCUUGUGGAAGGAAAGUAUUCGCACAAUAUAUAUCUCUUAAUGAUGAAAUAGUUCUCUGGAUGUUUUCAAACCUGAUCCUAACUUCCUUCCUUGAGAUGAUUCUGGGGAUGAAGAUGGCUUUGAUGCUAAACCGGAUGUGUAACUUGUCUCUUGAUUGAAGUUACCUCUAUCAUAUCGUUUUUGAGUUGAACUUAGUGUCUUUUGAUUGGUGUUGAGUUGAAAUUAGUGUUGUUCAAUAUUGUUUUGUGUUGAGAGAGAAAUACAGAGAUAGGGGAAUCUGAUCUUAACAACAAUAUCCAUAUCGUUUUUUGUGGUUAACAGGCUGAGAUUCUACCUCGACUUCAAUAUACGCCUUGAGACAGACCGGAAAAUAUUGUUGAUUUCAAGGAUUGAUGAUUUUCUCUAUUCGAUCAAAAUCCAAAUCCAUAUUCUGUGAAGUCUACAACACGACCAGACUUUUUGGAGGGUGAGCUGAAGAUUAUCAGCUUAGAUGGUCUAUGUCUAACUCAGACUCAGACUAUGGGAGUCUUUUCCUAUGGAAUCCUCUUUUAGGAUCUUACACAAAGAUAUCAUCAAACCUCUCGAUUGGGAACUAAAAGCUUAUUACCGCUACACCUAGAGACUACAAAAUAUUGAGCUUUGCAAAAGGGAUAGACUCUGUCAACAUCCUAGAGCUAAAAAACCUUCAUUGGAGGAAGGUGAAAGCAUUAGUUGAUUGGGAGAUAGAACCGUCUUCACAUGGAGUUUCCGUGGCUGGUAUCUUACUGGAGAAACAAAACGGGUAUGGGGAACUGGUCUUUCCGGAAGAAUAUCAUUUUGCUUCAAUAUCUUCGUUCGGUGGAAAUAGAUUGUCUAGAAAUCAUUUUAGUUUCUACCACUUUUGUGUGUCUUGGAAAUUUGUAAAACAUGACUAUCGCUUUAACGAUUGGAGGAAACGGGUUCUCUCGUCUAUCCAGAUCGUCCUUUACAUCAUCUUCUUCGAUUGAGGAACAGCAGGAAGAAAGAACACGAAGAUGCUGAACAGAACAGAACCAGAGACUACUCUCACGUCAAUCCUUACGCUUGAAGCAAGAUGAAGAAGAAAUGAUUCGAAUGCACAUAAAUAACAACAUAGACACUGAUAACGAUGUAAAUACAUGAAACUGAAUGGUACUUAAAAUGUAAAUUAAAACAAAAAGUAUUUUCUCCUUCAUCAUGUAAAGCUCAACGUUAAGCUUUAAUGAAAAUCAUCUCAAUAUACUUCAAAAAGAUUUUAAGAGUCCUAAUCCGUGGAGAAUGUUCCGUUGCAGAGACACACCAAAGAUAAACAUUACUUUGCUAAGUAUAUCUAUUAUAAUAGCAAACCUAAUUUUAUUUUUCUAUGACAUCAGCAUUUUUUUAUAGGAAAAAAAAAGUUUGAUCUAACGUUUGAGUUUAUCCCUACUUUUAAUCUAACGGAAACGAUUUAUUUUAAUCACAAAAUCUUACGUCAUAUAAUUGUUUCAACAGAUUGAUGUACCUCUUCUCUGAUCGACGCACGACGCACCUUUUAAACUGAUUAUUAGAUUGAAGUACUGGUUAGAGUCGUUAUUUUUUUCUGAGAACGCUUCUCAAUCGAAGUCCCAAGGAAAAGCUUUGGUUCCUCAUCAUGCUCUGCUCUAACCGGCCAACUCGACGGCUACAAUUGAUUUCUAAUAUAUCUCGCCGCGAAUCUAAACCGCCACCACCGUUUUCAUUGAUGAUGAGACUGACGUUAUAAAGUUGAUGAGAGAGAAGAGCAAGAAGUAGAAGAAGAAAGUUGUUGCGGUGACAACGCUGCCAUGGAUGGAAUUGAAAAGCUCAAUUUCGAGAAAAUAAGAUACGGAGGAUAGAUCAUGUCAUCUGAUGUUGAGGCUCAACUACGACGCCAAUUUGGAAGCUUCGUCUGUUAAAUCUUGUGAUGUUUCUUGGGUCGGAAGCAACCGGGGCAGACGUCAAGUAUCCAGCAUCACCCCUGGGACACUACUGAUCAUCCUUGCUGGUAGGUUCAAGGGCAAGAGAGUUAAUUUUUUUUAACCAACUACCCUCUGUUUUUCUUUUUGUGACCGAUCAAUGAUUGCCACGUCCUGAAAGUCUCUGAUGUUAGCCUCGAUAAAUAUGAUGAUCAGUAUUUUGGAAAGGUAGGCGAGAAGAAGAACAAAAAGGGAGAAGGAGAGUCUCUGAUGGAGCCGUGGAUCUAUAUAUCUGAAUUAUAAACACCUAAAGGCAAAAUACAAAAAGUGUACUCAAGUUUAUUGUUUUCUGCUAGGCUUUAAUCUCAAGCUCUCCCAUGUACUUCUUCACUUCUUUCCUCUUCCUCUGCGUGUUGCCUUCCUCUCGUGUCCUUACUUAUACACUCCAAUGUAUCAGAGUCUUCGAGGCAGAGAGAGAGAAAGUGUCUACACAUAGGGAAAAAGACGACCAGAUGGCUGUGGACGGAGCUUUGAUCAAAGCCAUCGAGGUAGUUUCAGAGUUGAAUACUUGCCUUUGCACAGUUUUCAUUGCACAAGGAAUGGAGCCGAAUAAGCUUGUUUUCUAGAUUUUAAAACCUUUAAUGAGCAUCUUAGGUAUAUGUGCCCUCAUGCGUUACUCUUUUUUUGUUCUUGUCCACAUACCAGAGAUAUUUUGACUUGGUACAUUCUAUAUAUCACAUUUGGUAUAAACAAUCUAUCUUAUUUAAUUUGAACUUUGAAGCAAUAUUUUUCAAUAGAUAAUAAUAUUUUUAUGUUGAAAACUCAGUGAAUCUUCACGUAAACUGGGAUGAGAGCACAAAUAAAUGAAAUAGUUUUUUCCACAAAUAUUUUUUUGUAAUUAGAUAAGAUUGAUACUGAUGUGGACACAUAUCGACAGAGACAUCAGACAAAUUGGGCUAACUACCCGAACUUUACCAUUAUGUGUUUUUUUUUAUGUGUAGCUCGGAAUUUCAGAUAAGCUUAUAACCUGAAAGAAAUACUAAUAGAUUCGGAACGUCGUGCGUGAGUGAGUUCUACUCUCUCUUACGCCAAUUUGCCUUUGUACUUUUACCAUUCGAAUGAUAAAGCUGACUUACACGAUGGGAAAAACAUUUGUGUCACAUGUAAGUUGUGUUCUAAGUUCACCUUUGAUUUGCGUUUGCAAUUGGAAUAUAUUCAAAUAUUCUCUGCAUCACAACCCAUUAGCCAUCAACAGACAACCGCAAA